UUUUCUCUCUCUCUCUCUCUCUUUCCUUUACUAGUAUUUUGAAGGCUGGAAGAAAAAUUACCACCAAUUAUAUCCCCAGUCCGGUAUAUAGAGUGUUAAAUGUGUAUAGAGAGUACUACUUUCUAUCGCCUGGGUUCAUCUUUUAUCCUUCUUUCUUGAUUGUUAUAAUUUUCAAUUAUAAUGACGGCGUGAUUCCGGCAAUAUCGUCAUAGUUUAAAUUUUAAAAAUAGAUGCUGAUUGACAGUGUGUGGUUCCAGUCUACCUAGAAAUCAAAAGUGAACUGAAAUUUUGGUACAGUUUCGAUUCAGUUUCGAUUCAGUUCUUCAUUAUUUCGAUUUCAGUUCGAUACAGUUCUCAAUUUUUUGGUUUCGAUUUGAUUUGGUACGGUUUUAAUUUAUUUCUCG
This 404-nucleotide unclassified non-coding RNA is filed under the name Hevea brasiliensis (rubber tree). Lineage: Eukaryota; Viridiplantae; Streptophyta; Magnoliopsida; Malpighiales; Euphorbiaceae. The record is from RNAcentral.